RNAcentral lists this long non-coding RNA (1065 nucleotides) under Gallus gallus (chicken). RNAcentral's name for it is "lncRNA (ENSGALG00010003776.1)". Lineage: Eukaryota; Metazoa; Chordata; Aves; Galliformes; Phasianidae. The record is from RNAcentral.
GUGGGAAUUUGGGUGUUAUUGAGGAAGAGACAACACAUAAAUGUGGGAAUUUGGGUCUUUUUGUGAGGCGAGGGUAUAAAAAUGUGGGAAUUUGGGUCUUAUGAAGACUACACAAAUUGGGGUGUUUAGGUGGGAAUUUGGGUCUUAUUAAGGAAGAAACAACACAUAAAUGUGGGAAUUUGGGUCUUUUUGUGAGGAGAGGGUACAAAAAUGUGGGAAUUUGGGGUCUUAUGAAGAGAAAAUACACAAAUGUGGGUAUUUAGGUGGGAAUUUGGGUGUUACUUAGGAAGAGAACGCACUAAUGUGGGAAUUUGGGUCGUAUUUAUGAAGAGAAGAUACACAAACGUGGAUAUUUAGGUGGAAAUUUGGGUCUUGCUUAUGAAGAGAAUGCAUAAAUGUGGGAAUUUGGGUCUUAUUCAUGAAGAGAAGAUACACAAAUAUGGAUAUUUAGGUGAGAAUUUGGGUCUUGUUUAUGAAGAGAGGACACACACACGUGGGAAUUUGGGUCUGUUUGUGAGGAGAGGGUACGAAAAUGUGGGAAUUUGGGCCUUUUUUAGGAAGAGGACACACAGAUGUGGGUAUUUAGGUGGAAAUUUGGGCCUUGUUUAUGAAGAGAUGACACAUAGAUGUGGGAAUUUGGGUCUUAUGAAGAGAGGAUACACAAAUGUGGAUAUUUAGGUGGAAAUUUGGGUCUUGUUUAGGGAGAUACAGAAAUUUGGGUAUUUAGGUGGGAAUUUGGGUCUUAUUGAGGAAGAGACAACACAUAAAUGUGCGAAUUGGGGUCUUUUUGUGAGGAGAGGGUACAAAAAUGUGGGAAUUUGGGUCUUAUGAAGAGAAAAUACACAAAUGUGGGUGUUUAGGUGGAAAUUUGGGCCUUGUUUAUGAAGAGAUGACACAUAGAUGUGGGAAUUUGGGUCUUAUGAAGAGAGGAUACACAGAUGUGAAUAUUUAGGUGAGAAUUGGGGUCUUUUUGUGAGGACAGGACACACAAAUGAGGGCAUUUCGCUCUGAUUCAUAACAACGCGUCCCACCAUCGCUCCCUCACGGAACCCAUCUGGCGCCAAA